RNAcentral lists this ribosomal RNA (460 nucleotides) under uncultured bacterium. RNAcentral's name for it is "partial 16S ribosomal RNA". It matches the Rfam family "Bacterial small subunit ribosomal RNA", at positions 338 to 795 of the family's 1533-position model. The record is from RNAcentral.
CCUACGGGAGGCAGCAGUGAGGAAUAUUGGUCAAUGGGCGCGAGCCUGAACCAGCCAAGUCGCGUGAGGGAAGACGGCCCUACGGGUUGUAAACCUCUUUUGCCGGGGAGCAACGGGCGCCCAGGGUGGCGCCACUGAGAGUACCCGGAGAAAAAGCAUCGGCUAACGCCGUGCCAGCAGCCGCGGUAAUACGGAGGAUGCGAGCGUUAUCCGGAUUUAUUGGGUUUAAAGGGUGCGUAGCAGGAGCGUUAAGUCAGUGGUCAAAUUGAGGGGCUCAACCCCUUCCCGCCAUUGAAACUGGCGCUCUUGAGUGGAAGAGAAGUAUGCGGAAGGCGUGGUGUAGCGGUGAAAUGAAUAGAUAUCACGCAGAACCCCGAUUGCGAAGGCAGCAUGCCGGCUUCCUACUGACGCUGAAGCACGAAAGCGUGGGGAUCGAACAGGAUUAGAUACCCGGGUAGUC